CUGUUUUUGUUACGACAAUUUACAUUCAUGACACUAAAGUUUCUGGUGUUUUGGGUCGGGGGCCCGAGAGCCCCAAGACAUACACAGUUCACGAUGUGUGUGGAAUAGACACGGCCAGAGGCCAAUCUCUAAUGAUCCUUCCGCAGGUUCACCUACGGAAA
This 161-nucleotide unclassified non-coding RNA is filed under the name uncultured fungus. RNAcentral's name for it is "sequence contains ITS1". The record is from RNAcentral. Lineage: Eukaryota; Fungi.